This is a long non-coding RNA of Mesocricetus auratus (golden hamster), 1165 nucleotides long. RefSeq lists it as uncharacterized. The transcript has 4 exons. The record is from RefSeq and is a predicted model, not a curated record. NCBI's taxonomy places the organism in Eukaryota, Metazoa, Chordata, Mammalia, Rodentia, Cricetidae.
UUCCAGGAGAAAUUGCAAUUCCCAAGCUUCCGCAUUGAAAGCUCUUUGAAAGUCUGGGAAGCCUCCAGUCUAAAAAAAGGGGGGGAGUAAGCAAACAUUAAGUGUGAGCAAGCCUGUAGGGUGACGUGGUAGCACAGUGUUCAUACUUCUUGCUCACAUGCCUCUUGAGACCUGGGACAGGGCAUGAAUUGUCAGCCUUCAGUAGCAAUGCAUUUCAAGUUCAAAUUUGUGUAGUUACUCAGGAAGCUGAGGCAAGAGGAUCACUUUGGCCAAGGAGAUUACGGAUAGCCUGGCUAACGAACUAAGACCCCCACCUCACCAAAGAAGGGCAGGAAAGAUGACUCAGUUUGCAGGACCUUGUGGAAGUGAGAAGAUUGUGUCCAGUCAACUGGACCAGGAGCUACAGAUGUUUGUGAGCUUCUAGGACCUGGACCUGGUUUCCUCUGGAAGGGCAAUCAUCCGUCUCUCCUCCCAGAUCAUCAACACAGCUCUCAGGAAUGAAAAGACUUUUCUCCUCUGAGGGCUGCGAAACUGAAACCAACUCCAGCCACUAGAGGACUCUCUCCUCUUUGGAAAAAGAAAACAAAAAUCUCAUCUCAACUAUGAGAUGGGAAUGACAAAGACACAGUCAAGCUGGAUAUAAAAUAAACUAGUGUGAUUUUUCAAAGGUGUGCCGGUGUCUGUGGAGAGGACUUUGCUCCUGUGGCGACAGGUUGCUAAGGUCACGGAAGAGGCUGACACAAAUGUCUGCUGCUGCACAACCGCACUUUGAAGUAACUACUCCAGUGGUCUUCAAUGGCAGUUCAAAGGAAGAAGGCUAAAGGCUGAUGGGAAAACAGUACAGGUCUCCAAGGCUGAUGGCCACAAACUCCUAGUGAAUCGAACCCUUAUAUUUGAAGAACUUCCUAUUUUGUCAUUUUUCUCCCUUAGCAGAUUAAAACAGAAGGAAUAAUGCAAUUGUAUGUUUAACAGUUAAUAUGAGUUAAUGAUAGUGUGUAUAUAAGCAUACAUAUAUCUACAUUUUGUUUUAUGCUGAGUAUCAAGCUUAGUAAGGACAUAAAGACAUCCCCAACCCUAAAAUGGACACCCCUAAAAUGCAUUGACCUGUGUUAGGUUUUUUUGUUGUUUGUUUGUUUGUUUUGUUUUGAAACAGGAUCUUGCUAUG